Molecule: ribosomal RNA, 653 nt
Filed under: Melampsora ferrinii
Lineage: Eukaryota; Fungi; Basidiomycota; Pucciniomycetes; Pucciniales; Melampsoraceae
Description: eukaryotic LSU rRNA
Rfam family: Eukaryotic large subunit ribosomal RNA
Source: RNAcentral
CAGGUGGGACUACCCGCUGAACUUAAGCAUAUCAAUAAGCGGAGGAAAAGAAAAUAACUAUGAUUCCCUUAGUAACGGCGAGUGAACAGGGAGAAGCCCAAAUUUGUAAUCUGGCACUUUUUACAGGUGUCCGAGUUGUAAUUUGUAGAACUGCUAUCCGUACUGGACCAUGUACAAGUCUGUUGAAAAGCAGCAUCAUUGAAGGUGAAAAUCCUGUAGAUGAUAUGGACUACCAGUAUAUUUGUGAUGCGGUUUCUAAGAGUCGAGUUGUUUGGGAAUGCAGCUCAAAGUGGGUGGUAAAUUCCAUCUAAGGCUAAAUAUGAGUGAGAGACCGAUAGCAUACAAGUACCGUGAGGGAAAGAUGAAAAGAACUUUGAAAAUAGAGUUAACAGUACGUGAAAUUGCUGAAAGGGAAACGUUUGAAGUUAGUUUUGUAUUCGUUGGAUCAGCUUCGCAAGGAGUGUAUUCCGAUGAUAGGCAAGUCAACAUCAAUCUAUGAGUGUUGGAUAAGGGUUUUGAGAACGUAGCAAUUCAGUUGUGUUAUAGCUCGAGACUUGGAUACGAUGCUUUGGAUUGAGGAACGCGUAGUAAGCUUUGAGCGGAUUCGAAAGGAUCUCCUUACUAUGGAUGUUGGUGAAAUAACUUUAAGCGAC